GUCCACGCCGUAAACGAUGAGUGCUAGACGUUGGGGAGCCUAGCUUUCCGGUGUCGCAGCUAACGCGAUAAGCACUCCGCCUGGGGAGUACGGCCGCAAGGUUAAAACUCAAAGGAAUUGACGGGGCCCGCACAAGCGGUGGAGCAUGUGGUUUAAUUCGAAGCAACGCGCAGAACCUUACCAGCCCUUGACAUGGGGAGUGUGAUCCCGAGAGAUCGGGGUCUUCAGUUCGGCUGGCUCCCGCACAGGUGCUGCAUGGCUGUCGU
Molecule: ribosomal RNA, 266 nt
Filed under: uncultured bacterium
Lineage: Bacteria
Description: partial 16S ribosomal RNA
Rfam family: Bacterial small subunit ribosomal RNA
Source: RNAcentral